Molecule: ribosomal RNA, 252 nt
Filed under: uncultured bacterium
Lineage: Bacteria
Description: partial 16S ribosomal RNA
Rfam family: Bacterial small subunit ribosomal RNA
Source: RNAcentral
UACGUAGGGUGCUAGCGUUGUCCGGAUUUAUUGGGCGUAAAGAGCUCGUAGGCGGCUUGUCGCGUCGAAUGUGAAAUCUCAGGGCUCAACUCUGACAUUGCAUUCGAUACGGGCAGGCUAGAGUCGGUAGGGGAGACUGGAAUUCCUGGUGUAGCGGUGAAAUGCGCAGAUAUCAGGAGGAACACCGAUGGCGAAGGCAGGUCUCUGGGCCGAUACUGACGCUGAGGAGCGAAAGCGUGGGGAGCGAACAGG